Xiphophorus couchianus (Monterrey platyfish) is the source of this 843-nucleotide long non-coding RNA. RefSeq lists it as uncharacterized. The transcript is spliced from 3 exons. Lineage: Eukaryota; Metazoa; Chordata; Actinopteri; Cyprinodontiformes; Poeciliidae. The record is from RefSeq and is a predicted model, not a curated record.
CAUCUUAUGUCCUAAAAUGCUUUACUUUGGCCUUGUUCCAGGUCAGGUUUUUUUUUCUUUUGGUUAUGGUGCACUUUUGGCUUGCAGUGCCCAGAGACCCCAAGAUCAUUCUCUCCAGAACUUGGUUGGCGAGCCCCAGCCCAGGGGACCAAGUGAACCGGUAGAUGGUGACCCUACUGGUCACUACCCGUGAGACAUUGAAUGAACAUUUGAUAGACACAUUGAAAAGACUGGGUUAUUUAUUUUAUUUUUUUAAAUUGUACAAUUUUGGUUUAUUUGUUAAUGUGGAUCCACAAUAUUCUUUAUAUUAAGUUCUACUCUUUCUUACAGACAUCGUGUGCUCUACUCUGUUAUUGCUUACACCUAGGCUCCCGUGAAUUUAGAAUCUUCUGAUCAGGCCCAACUUUCUUUAUCCUUGUGAAGUGUUGGUAUUAGUCAUUGAAGUAAAUUAACUUACCUGCCAUCUACUAUCAUUAAGGGUAUUUGAAGUAACCUUUCUUGUGGGUUACAAAAGCACUGAUGGUGCUACUUGUUGGGCAUUCUCCUGUUUUUAUUUGCAAUAGAAACUAAAAGGUUCUCCAAACUUCCUUGUUAAGUUGUGGUUGUUUUCCCUAGCAAACAUUGAUAGAGCUACUUCUGGCACUAAACAUGUGAAUUACUUUUACUAUUCCAUGGGAAAUGCACCUUGCUCUGUUUAACUGUUUUUCUUCCUGGUUGACAGAAAUAUUGGAGCUAUUGACUCUGUAUACUCUCUCUUUAUAUUUCUUUCAUAGGAAGUAUAACUUGUUUGGUGCUUUGCUGUGUUUCUUUCCCAGAAUAAAACAUUACACUGUCUUUAUAUAC